CCCUGCAUGCUAAGUACGUGCCGCUAGCUAAACAGCAAAACCUCUUUUUGAGAGAAAUGCAGAUAGCUCAAAGACAGCACAUGUUCUGCAUUUCUACUAUAUGUCCUCCAGCCUCAGCCCACCUGCCCCAAGCAAAGACAACAAUCUUCAUUACGCCUAAUAGCAAGCCAUACCUUCCCAGAAUACCUUCUCGGAAACUCUUGGCCUUGUUUACAGCAUGUAAUACCAGGCACCCAAACAGAUGGUAGCACUUAUUAAAGAUAUUAAAGCAGAAGAAAAGACAGCAGAAAAGGAGGCAACUAUUAGAAAAUACUUUGUGGCAAGGAAAAAAACAUUUUCUAUGUUUUCCCUGCAGCAGGAGCCUGAGUCUCUGAAUUCCAGGCUGAAGGAAAUGCGGGAAGUCUUGCAAUCAACAGCAAACCACAAACCAAUAUUAAAUGAGGGUAAAACGCCAUCCUCACCCUCAGCAGCAUUAUCAUGGCUCAGAUCAAAACCUCAAUUUAAAACCUCAUACGGAAAAGGCAGAUAGAAAUGUUGGGAAACAGUAUAUCCUCCUUUCCCUCUCACAGGACCCAGUAUAAAUAUUUUAGGGCAUUCCAGAAGGGAAAUGGAGGUACAUAUAUCUUAUAUACACACCUAGUUGACAAGGAUAAUGUUUUACGAUUGUCUGAACUAGAGGGAGGGAGGGAAGAAAGGAAGGAAGAAGGGAAGGAAGAAGGUAGGAAGGGAAGUAGUGAGAGAAGUGAGGAAGGGAGUGAGGAAGAGAAGAAGGGAGGAAGAGAGGAAGAGAGGAAGGAAGCAAGCAAGCAAACAAGAAAAAUAAUGCAUGCUUUUAUAGAAAACAGAAAAUCUUCAGUUAUCCAUUUUCUAUCAAGUGACCCAUGUAGCGUUUAAAGAAAAGCAAGCAUUUAUGUAUACAGAGUUACAUUACAAAAAGCAUAAAACCAUGGAUGGUGGGAUCCAAGCUUGAGUAAACAAUGCAGAAAACUGGAAGAAGGGAUCAAAAAAGAAGAGGAACUCUUUUGGAUAGUCCAGUGAAAUGUUACUUGGACACUUCAUGCAUCACAGCAAUUUCAAUGAGAAUGGAGGAGAUAUCCCCACAGGAGUCACAGCAUAACUUGCCGGCACCUAGGCUUCUCCCUUCUCUGCCUGGUUCCCCUGCUCCCAUGCAGCCUGGGCAGCAGGCUCGCUUGCGCUGCCCACUGCCCUGCAGCCAAAGUCCUUGGUGACGAUGGCAGCACUGGCCAGCUGAGCUCCUGCACGGUUGCUCCCCUCCUUGCCCCAUGACCCCUGUUGACCGCCUAACUGGAUAAGAGCAAUGGAAGGGCUUCACUGUGAGCCCAGGCUGGAGAAUAUAAAGCUCAAAAAGUUUUGAAAAUUGGGUAGACUAUUGGAGCACCAGUGAAGAGAUAUGGAGGAGCUUAGAUGUGGGCAAGCAUCUGGAAAACAUAUAGAUGAGGCUUUCUAAAAAAUUGAUUAAAAGAAAAAUCUAAGCUGCACACAAGGAGAAGCUCCUAUUUCUCCUUUCUGCUACUAAGAAUUUUUCCAACGUCUCACCUUUGGAAUGUGGCCAGAAUUCAUUUUGCUGGUAAAGAACAAGUAGUAUUUUCGGUAGCAGUCUGGCUAAGUACGUUUACUCCUCCUUACCAUUAAAUGGAUCUUCACACGUGAUGUCUAAAGGAACGUCCUUGAGAUCUGGCCAGCAGGAUCUUUGGAGCAGACUGAGGUGCCGCUUUUGGAGAAAUUAACGUCAAGCAGAUGGAGUCUGUGAUUUACACAGAUGUGCUUUGCACCUGAAUACUCCUCGUGUGCAGUGGAGGAGGGAUCUCCAGCCCCAUUUCUCCUGCCAGCCUCAUCCUCAUCCCCGUCUCUUCUCAUUACUUAAAGAACCCGGUCUCCUGUGUUUUCUCUGCUCUUUAUUCCAUGUCGCCGGAGCUGAGUGACUGCUGAAGAUGAGAGCAGAUGAAGAGUGUGAAGAGGGAAGCUUCUGCCUUUGGUCUGAGUCUGAUGGGGAAUGAUGAAAAACACAUGGGCUAUGAAAAAGUCCAGUCCAACUUUCUGUUUACUGAGCUCCCUAGAAACGUCAACAUCUGUCACCAAGUAACCCCUAAAAGGGGCACCCCCUUGCUACAGGACCCUGAUGGCAGGUCCCAUCCCUCUUCUCCAAGCACAGCCUGGAGCUGAGGGGUGUUGACAGAGAGAAAGGGAGGUUAUCGGGAUUUGGUGAUAGGUGUAUUAAUAGACAAAGGAGACCAGAAGUGAUGCCCCUCGCUCAUCUGGGUGAUGCCACCCCAGGAAGAGUGAGCAGGGCUGCAGCCUCCCAGCCGCCUCGCGUAAAGCCGGCAGGGUGGCAUGGCCCCGCCGGUGCCCCGGCCCCGCUCCCGGGCCGGGGACCCGCUGCCCCGUUCCCUGUCGGGUCCCCUCCCGCCUGCCCCGGGGGGCAGCUGGGACCCCCCUGCCUGCCCGCCUUCGGAGGGGACUGAGGGGAGCAGCCUCCGGGUGCUGAGGGGGCCGAGCGCCGGGGACCGGCUGGCGGCAGGCGCCGCCGCGGCCGCUGUUCCCGUGCACCGCUCCCCUCCGCGCCCCGCGCUGCCCCCGGCCGCGAGGAGCUCCUGUUCCCUUUUCCAGCGUGCGGGUUUCGGGUAUCUCCGGCUCGGCUCCGGGCGAGCCGUUUGCCAGCGCGCGUAUUUUACGCGCAGACCCGAGCCUGUAUUUAUUACGCUGCAUUUAUUGACAGUCCGCGCGGCGCUAUUUGCGCCGCUUAGCGAGCGGUCCGCAGGAGGUGCGUGCGAACGAGCGGCCCGGGCCCCGCGCGGACCCGCGGCCGCGGACGGCGCGGCAGGUCCGCUCCGCGCCCGCGGGGCCGAGCCGCCUCGGCGGGGCUCUGCGUUACCGUGGGGCGCGCAACGAAAUUUCGUUAUGUGAGUCCUUCGCCGAAGAUCAGAACCGAGGCGGCUGUGAAUGCAAUCGAUCCCUACAAAAUACGUUAAGCGAAACAUUCAAUUAAAGCACAUAUUUCCUUGGGCUUA
Dromaius novaehollandiae (emu) is the source of this 3029-nucleotide long non-coding RNA. RefSeq lists it as uncharacterized. Lineage: Eukaryota; Metazoa; Chordata; Aves; Casuariiformes; Dromaiidae. The transcript has 2 exons. The record is from RefSeq and is a predicted model, not a curated record.